Molecule: long non-coding RNA, 2213 nt
Organism: Dromaius novaehollandiae (emu)
Lineage: Eukaryota; Metazoa; Chordata; Aves; Casuariiformes; Dromaiidae
Exons: 2
Source: RefSeq, a predicted model, not a curated record
UGUCCCCUUUGCUUGCUAAAGCAAGACGGGGAAUGAAGGCUUUCGCAGCCACAGUAAUGGAAACCGCUGCUGCAGAGUUAAAAUGCAAUUGUUGUUUAAUCCUGUGUGAAUUACAUAAAAUAUAAGCUGCUGAUACAGCACGUUAACUUCAGUAUAUUUGUCUGUCUUGAAACAGAGCCUCUUGAGACAUCAAACAUUUGGCAACUCUUCAACUGUCUAGAUAACUUGAAGACGCUUCCUGUUUAUGGCAGGGAGGAAGACAAAGGCAGCAGCUGCGUGGAGCCGCGCGCCUGGUGCCUCGGCGAAGGGUGACGUUUCGGGUGCCAUGUUUGGGGCGGCGUGUGGCCGGUGGCCUCGGCGAGCGGCGCGGCUGCCAGCACCGGGACCUGCACGCCGGGCGCAGGGCGAGGGCCGCAGCUGCGAGACAGCACCGCGAGCGCAGCAGCCAUUUUGCUUUGAUAAUCCCUGGUAAUGAGAUGGGUCUGUGGCUUGUGAAAUACAGGCUGCUCUCGGUGCCCUGGCUUCCCUUUUUCCUCCUACUAACUGCUGUGGUAUUUUUAUAUACUUAUCUUGUAUCAAAUGCUGUGUGCUAAAUUAACACGCUCUUCUCUGAUAUCAGGUUGUUUAUACGCGAAUUCUCCGAGCUCAGAAAGAUGGGGAAAUACAGUGUUGCCUAUAUCCAACCCCUUGCUCUAUGAUCACUAACGCAGUUUAAUUCACAUUAUUUAAUAUUCCUUUUAAACCUAACAAAUGACCCUUUCAUUACCUUAUUCUUUCUCAAAGCCUUUCUCCUAUGGAGAAGAGAAAGCAUCUAUGGAGAUACAUAGCUCAGGACAUAAAUUCUGCAACUUCCCACUGAAAAGGAGAGAGAUGGAAUAUUUCCUCAAAAUAAUAGUAUCUGAAAUAAAUUUGGUUCAGAUCUUGAAGUACAUUCACAUUUAUUUUCUUUUCUUUAUCUGAUUAUACUAUCUUUCUUGUUUUUAAGCAUACAUAAAAAUCCAUAGGGUACCAUGAGGAAGUUUAUUUUAAGCAGUAGUCUUAGCCUCUAAUUUCAUCAAAAUAUUUACUGCCUCAGGAAACAAGUGCAACAUUACUAUUAGCGCUUAUGAAGUGCUAACAAAUGUUUGCCUAAACAAAGAAGAAAGUAGUGUAAUUUUAUUUGGCCAGAAGCAUUUUAUUUGCUCCAAUAUAUUUGGUGUAUUUUGUCUAUAUAUUAUCUCUCCCUGAUUUUAAAUACAUUGCAAAGCCUGUUUCUCCAGGUACUUGUAAUCAUGAAACUUGGAGAAAAAUUGGGCUUUGAGUCAGGUGAGAAGCAUCCAUUUAGGCAAAAGGACGUUCUCCUUUUGUCUUAAAGUUUGGACUAAUUUUGACAAACAUUAAUCUGUAUUAAUUUUUACAAGUUACCAUGUAUGGACUGUUGCUGGACAGAUAUUUGUUUUAAAAUCUAAACCUAUGAGUUAGAAGCACUGAAUAGUAGGAACUGGUUCAUUUUAGACACAAAAUUUCCAGAAGCGUGAACCCUUUUGUCAUCAUCGCCGUUGGUAGGUUGGAAGCUACACGGUUGCUAGGACUCACUUCCCUGAUAAAUGCUGCUUAUCAUCUAAGGAAUAAUUUAAUAUCAACAUUAGAUAAACAGAUUCAUCUUAAGAAGGGAUGGUCUUUUUUCAGCAUAUUAUUUUGGAAUUUUGGCAUAUUAUUUUGGAAUUCUCAUAUGAUUUCCUGGUUGUUUGAAAGAUAUGGAAAUAUAUAUUUUUUCUUUUCAGGGGAUUGUCAGAAUUUCGUGACUAAUCUAAACUUCUCCCUCGUCCCACUGUUUUACACAAUCCAUAUUAAAAGUCCAGCUGAGAAAUAAUGAACAUGUCUGUGGAGAACUUCAUUAUCACUCCUGGAUUACUGAAAUUCCCAUCUAAAAGUUCCACUAUUGAAGCAAUGUAUAUCUUAACUUAGGACACCCUACUACCCAAAAGUGUUUUUUUUUCAUCUCACCACAAACUGAGGUGUUCUUAUCAGUAGCUGUUGGUAACCAAAUGUGGAACAAAUAGUUAAAGAACAAAAGCAAGAUUAUCACAACCUUCUUUUUGUUCCAAACUAUGUAACUGAGAAAGAGAGUUUCAUGAUCAUGUGUAGGUUACUUUUAAUCCUGGACUUUACUUAUUUACUGUUGUUUCUGUAUUGUUUUAGAUGUGCCUAUCGGUACAUAUUAAUGAAGACUU